RNAcentral lists this long non-coding RNA (274 nucleotides) under Gossypium raimondii (Peruvian cotton). Its description in RNAcentral is "long non-coding RNA (GRAI_LNC003749)". The record is from RNAcentral. Lineage: Eukaryota; Viridiplantae; Streptophyta; Magnoliopsida; Malvales; Malvaceae.
GAUUAAAAUAUUAGGAAUACUCGAUUUUUAUUAACUUAACCAUUUUUAUUUUUAUUUUUAUUAUAAUUUUUGUUUUUAGUUUAAUUUUUAUUUUCUAAUAUUUCUUUUAUUUGCUUCUGGCAGGUUUCUUUAGUUUAUGACUAGAAGAAACCCGUCGGGACCAUUAUUAUUUGGCAGUGAAAUUGAAAGUACAGCUCACAGAAACCGUAGAGAAGCAAGGCAAAGUCGUCAAAAUAUAUAGUAAACGAGCAAAAGGACAUUAUUAUUACUGAGG